GUUUGUUGGCUGUGCUGUGAAGAAGGAGUCAGUGCUGUGAGGAGAUGACCAUGAGAAAUCACCAAGAAGGUGUGGGAAAGGUGUGGAUAGAAACAAACCAGCAGCCAGAGCAGGCCUGUGAAUUUGCUGAAGCUGUAAUCUGAGAUCUAUGCAUGAUGUGCCAAAUCAGCUUGUGGACUCUGAGACCAAAUUGUGACUGGUUGGGGUUUACCAAGAUGGAAAAUGGAGAGAAAUGUCUGCUGGUUUGAACAGAGCAUUGAUGUUCAAGGUGUGAUUUUACAUCUAAGGAAAACACUCUUAGCUCAAAAAUGUUCUAAGAACUAAAUGUACUUAGUUCAAAAAUGUACACCCCAUGCAGUAGGGACAAACUGUUUUCAUCACCUGCCUUUAUCAAAGCAGCUUGAGUUGGUUCCACACUGCUGUGAAAUCAGCAGCAUCUUCUGCUUUUAUAAAACAGAACAACUUUGUUUCAUGCUAAAAUAGAACCUGGUGUUUCUACUCGGAAGAAAUAUGAUGUGCUUUUCACUUUUUAUGAGACAUUUUGGAAAGAAGGCCCACCUUUGAUUUUAUCUAAAUUUUUCACUUUGUUUUUGUUUUGUUUGCCAAGCAAGAUCAAAACCCCACACAGGGGGAAUCUAUUUUCAGUAAAAGUCCACUGCUCAUUUCCAUUCUUCCAUCACAGUGCCCAGGUGAAAAUGAAAAUAACACUUAAAGUAAGUGUACUUGAAGGCAAGUAGGCAAUAUUAUCACAGGAUCAUGGAAUGUGAAGGGGUUGGGAGGGACCUUAAGGACCAUCUAGUCCCAGCCAUAGUGCCAGGGACAGGGACAUCUGCUAGACCAGGCUGCUCAAGGAUCUUCCAAAGUGUCCCUGGACCCUGCCAGGGAUGGGGAAUCCAUGACUUCACUGGGCAACCUGUUCCAGCGUCUCACCACACUCACAGUAAUGAAUUUCUUCCUAAUAUCUGACCUAAAUUUCCCCUCUUUCAAUUUUUAUCCAUUAUUCCUUGUCCUAUAACUACAGUUUUGGUGAAGAGCAUAAUAAAAAAUACUUUUUAAUUGUUA
Long non-coding RNA from Melospiza melodia melodia, 1062 nucleotides. RefSeq lists it as uncharacterized. The record is from RefSeq and is a predicted model, not a curated record. The transcript is spliced from 2 exons. Lineage: Eukaryota; Metazoa; Chordata; Aves; Passeriformes; Passerellidae.